GGAGGGUAUAGCUCAGUGGUAGAGCACAUGCUUAGCAUGCACGAGGUCCUGGGUUCAAUCCCCAGUACCUCCA
RNAcentral lists this transfer RNA (73 nucleotides) under Vicugna pacos (alpaca). RNAcentral describes it as "tRNA-Ala (AGC) (tRNA-Ala-AGC-239 1 to 6)". It matches the Rfam family "tRNA". Rfam says of the family: Transfer RNA (tRNA) molecules are approximately 80 nucleotides in length. Their secondary structure includes four short double-helical elements and three loops (D, anti-codon, and T loops). Lineage: Eukaryota; Metazoa; Chordata; Mammalia; Artiodactyla; Camelidae. The record is from RNAcentral.